This 260-nucleotide ribosomal RNA is filed under the name uncultured bacterium. RNAcentral describes it as "partial small subunit ribosomal RNA". It matches the Rfam family "Bacterial small subunit ribosomal RNA", at positions 26 to 291 of the family's 1533-position model. The record is from RNAcentral.
AGGACGAACGCUGGCGGCGUGCUUAACACAUGCAAGUCACGGGGGCUGGUAGCAAUACCAGUAACCGGCGAACGGGUGCGUAACACGUGAGCAACCUGCCGAUCUGAGGGGGAUAGCCGGCCCAACGGCCGGGUAAUACCGCAUACGUUCAUUUGGGGACAUCCCUGAGUGAAGAAACCUCCGGGGCAGAUCGAGGGGCUCGCGGCCUAUCAGCUAGUUGGCAGUGUAAUGGACCACCAAGGCGACGACGGGUAGCUGGU